This 485-nucleotide ribosomal RNA is filed under the name Haloferax sp. SSIN2. RNAcentral describes it as "bacterial SSU rRNA". It matches the Rfam family "Archaeal small subunit ribosomal RNA", at positions 360 to 844 of the family's 1478-position model. The record is from RNAcentral. Lineage: Archaea; Methanobacteriati; Methanobacteriota; Halobacteria; Halobacteriales; Haloferacaceae.
CGCAAGUGCGAUAAGGGGACCCCAAGUGCGAGGGCAUAUAGUCCUCGCUUUUCACGACUGUAAGGCGGUCGUGGAAUAAGAGCUGGGCAAGACCGGUGCCAGCCGCCGCGGUAAUACCGGCAGCUCAAGUGAUGACCGAUAUUAUUGGGCCUAAAGCGUCCGUAGCCGGCCACGAAGGUUCAUCGGGAAAUCCGCCAGCUCAACUGGCGGGCGUCCGGUGAAAACCACGUGGCUUGGGACCGGAAGGCUCGAGGGGUACGUCCGGGGUAGGAGUGAAAUCCCGUAAUCCUGGACGGACCACCGAUGGCGAAAGCACCUCGAGAAGACGGAUCCGACGGUGAGGGACGAAAGCUAGGGUCUCGAACCGGAUUAGAUACCCGGGUAGUCCUAGCUGUAAACAAUGCUCGCUAGGUGUGACACAGGCUACGAGCCUGUGUUGUGCCGUAGGGAAGCCGAGAAGCGAGCCGCCUGGGAAGUACGCCCGC